Molecule: ribosomal RNA, 496 nt
Filed under: uncultured bacterium
Lineage: Bacteria
Description: partial 16S ribosomal RNA
Rfam family: Bacterial small subunit ribosomal RNA
Source: RNAcentral
AUGAACGCUGGCGGCGUGCCUAAUACAUGCAAGUCGAGCGAACAGAUAAGGAGCUUGCUCCUUUGACGUUAGCGGCGGACGGGUGAGUAACACGUGGGGAACCUACCUAUAAGACUGGAAUAACUCCGGGAAACCGGGGCUAAUGCCGGAUAACAUUUAGAACCGCAUGGUUCUAAAGUGAAAGAUGGUUUUGCUAUCACUUAUAGAUGGACCCGCGCCGUAUUAGCUAGUUGGUAAGGUAACGGCUUACCAAGGCAACGAUACGUAGCCGACCUGAGAGGGUGAUCGGCCACACUGGAACUGAGACACGGUCCAGACUCCUACGGGAGGCAGCAGUAGGGAAUCUUCCGCGAUGGGCGAAAGCCUGACGGAGCAACGCCGCGUGAGUGAUGAAGGUCUUCGGAUCGUAAAACUCUGUUAUUUGGGAAGAACAAAUGUGUAAGUAACUGUGCACGUCUUGACGGUACCUAAUCAGAAAGCCACGGCUAACUACGUG